This 449-nucleotide ribosomal RNA is filed under the name uncultured bacterium. Its description in RNAcentral is "partial 16S ribosomal RNA". It matches the Rfam family "Bacterial small subunit ribosomal RNA", at positions 354 to 796 of the family's 1533-position model. The record is from RNAcentral.
GUCGAGAAUCUUUCACAAUGGGGGCAACCCUGAUGGAGCGACGCCGCGUGGAGGAUAAGGUCUUCGGAUUGUAAACUCCUGUCAUGCGUGAACAAGGUUGCUUGGUUAAUACCUGGGCAAAUUGAUGGUAACGCAAGAGGAAGAGACGGCUAACUCUGUGCCAGCAGCCGCGGUAAUACAGAGGUCUCAAGCGUUGUUCGGAAUCACUGGGCGUAAAGGGUGCGUAGGUGGCGUGGUAAGUCAGAUGUGAAAGCCCGGGGCUCAAACUCGGAACUGCAUCCGAGACUGCCAUGCUAGAGUACUGGAGAGGUGACUAGAAAUCUCGGUGUAGCAGUGAAAUGCGUAGAUAUCGAGAGGAAUACCAAAGGCGUAGGCAGGUCACUGGACAGUUACUGACACUGAGGCACGAAGGCCAGGGGAGCGAACGGGAUUAGAAACCCUUGUAGUCC